Molecule: ribosomal RNA, 497 nt
Filed under: uncultured bacterium
Lineage: Bacteria
Description: partial 16S ribosomal RNA
Rfam family: Bacterial small subunit ribosomal RNA
Source: RNAcentral
GAUGAACGCUGGCGGCGUGCCUAAUACAUGCAAGUCGAGCGAACGGACGAGGAGCUUGCUGUUCUGAUGUUAGCGGCGGACGGGUGAGUAACACGUGGAUAACCUACCUAUAAUACUGGGAUAACUUCGGGAAACCGGAGCUAAUACCGGAUAAUAUUUUGAACCGCAUGGUUCAAAAGUGAAAGACGGUCUUGCUGUCACUUAUAGAUGGAUCCGCGCUGCAUUAGCUAGUUGGUAAGGUAACGGCUUACCAAGGCAACGAUGCAUAGCCGACCUGAGAGGGUGAUAGGCCACACUGGAACUGAGCCACGGUCCAGACUCCUACGGGAGGCAGCAGUAGGGAAUCUUCCGCAAUGGGCGAAAGUCUGACGGAGCAACGCCGCGUGAGUGAUGAAGGUCUUCGGAUCGUAAAACUCUGUUAUUAGGGAAGAACAUAUGUGUAAGUAACUGUGCACAUCUUGACGGUACCUAAUCAGAAAGCCACGGCUAACUACGUG